GGGCUUGUAGCUCAGAGGAAGAGCGUUUCUCUGAUAAAGAAAAGGUCGAUGGUUCGAGUCCAUCCAAGCCCACAA
This 75-nucleotide transfer RNA is filed under the name Candidatus Shapirobacteria bacterium CG10_big_fil_rev_8_21_14_0_10_40_9. RNAcentral describes it as "tRNA-Ile". It matches the Rfam family "tRNA". From Rfam's summary of the family: Transfer RNA (tRNA) molecules are approximately 80 nucleotides in length. Their secondary structure includes four short double-helical elements and three loops (D, anti-codon, and T loops). The record is from RNAcentral. Lineage: Bacteria; Candidatus Shapironibacteriota.